CUGCUGUUGUGCUGGUGAUAGGCGUUUGUGAAGGAUCUUGCCCGAUCGAGUGUCUUCGGCUUCCUCCCGCAGGAAAUUGGACGCUAGCUGGUGCAGAUAAUAGCCACGAGGACUGUUGGCAGCCAUGUCUGCCGCCAGUGUCUGGGCAUGGGCCUUGUUUAAUGG
RNAcentral lists this microRNA precursor (165 nucleotides) under Trichophyton rubrum BMU01672. Lineage: Eukaryota; Fungi; Ascomycota; Eurotiomycetes; Onygenales; Arthrodermataceae. The record is from RNAcentral.